RNAcentral lists this ribosomal RNA (119 nucleotides) under Acanthamoeba castellanii str. Neff. The record is from RNAcentral. Lineage: Eukaryota; Discosea; Longamoebia; Acanthamoebidae.
GGAUACGGCCAUACUGCGCAGAAAGCACCGCUUCCCAUCCGAACAGCGAAGUUAAGCUGCGCCAGGCGGUGUUAGUACUGGGGUGGGCGACCACCCGGGAAUCCACCGUGCCGUACCCU